UCUAAAACGGGAUUUUUCUGAAAAUGUUACGUUUCGGACAGAUGACAUGUGGCGUGACGUGAAUGGCUCUUGGAUGUUUGUUGCGGUGCUAAGAAAUGAAUGACCGAUACUUAACAAGUUCGGACAUAGGUGGCUAAUAACGCAGAACCAGACGGUUUACUAGAUCUAACUAAAAAACCGUUGUAACCUAACAUAACGGUUCGAUCAAAAAAAACAUUCUAGCCGACACACAAAGCGCUCGUUCUUUCUUAUACAGAAGGAGCUCGGUCCUGGCAUAGAAGAAGUUGGGAACGGGGCGGAGGCUCCAGUGAUGUUAGUCGGCGAUGGAGAUGUCCAACAGGUGCGGGGCGUCGGGGGCGACCGAUUUUUGUGGAUGAAGAGGCGAGAAGACGUCGAUGGUGCGCAGAGCAACGACAACAAUUGCGUGCUCCCACCGGGUGUGUGAGCUCCGGUUCAAAGCUAUGGUGAGAGAUCAAAAACUAAAACAUGUCAAAACAACGUUGUACGGGGAGACUAAAUAGGUAGGUGGAUUCUGAGAGGCCGGGGUGGCUUACCCGCAUCGAAACGUCCGACGAGAAAAACUAUGGUGAACCGAUCUCAUCGGCUUCGUGUGGUUCUUCCAAGCGAACUAGGGCAAAAAUUUGUGCGGGAAUCAGACGAGGCGUCCGUGGGGUACUUA
RNAcentral lists this long non-coding RNA (679 nucleotides) under Hordeum vulgare. Its description in RNAcentral is "long non-coding RNA (HVUL_LNC016429)". Lineage: Eukaryota; Viridiplantae; Streptophyta; Magnoliopsida; Poales; Poaceae. The record is from RNAcentral.